RNAcentral lists this unclassified non-coding RNA (2222 nucleotides) under Hevea brasiliensis (rubber tree). The record is from RNAcentral. Lineage: Eukaryota; Viridiplantae; Streptophyta; Magnoliopsida; Malpighiales; Euphorbiaceae.
GAAAUGGCAGAGUUGCCUCUUUCAUUUUGCCUUCAUCUACAGUUGCAUACAUAUUUUGCAGCAAAUCACCCAAAUGUUUAAAUUAUAGCAGUAGAGAACUUGUAUUUGUGAUUUCUCCAUACCCUUUUUGUUUUACAUUAGAAAAAAAAAAUGCAUCAGAUUUUGACCAAUAUUUUCUUGCUGAUCAAGGUUUUGUCUAUAUAAAAUUAAAGAGGGUCUUUUUUUUGAAGUGUAAAAGUAAUACUGUUGACUCCUAAUAUCCUGGAAAAUUUCUUAUGGGGUUUCAUCUUCUUCUUUAAAUUCCUAAAGUGUCAUUCUUAAACAUUGCAUACCAUCUAUAGUCCAAACAGUAAUUGCCUUAAUAAAAAAUUUCAACAGUAUCAGCUUCGGUAAGGGGUACUCUGAAAAUGGCAUUGGUAAGGGCUGCAAGGAGUAGCUUUAGGCGUUCUGGAGGUGCAAUCGGAAACUAUGCAAGUGAGAGAAAUAUAUUCUGUGAAGGCAUAUCACCAUUUAGACAUCCUGCGCCAGUUUUUGAAAAAGCUGUAACAGGUUUCAAUUCAUCAUACAUUCCAAGUACCCAGAUGAUAAAUCAAUUAAGUUUCGGGAACAGAGGAAUGAAGUUUACCCCUCAAUAUCAGUUUCCACAUGCAGCAGCUGAGACGGUUGGGGGUGCUGAUUCAAAGAAUGAAAGAUCCAGUUAUCCAGGCCUUGAAGCAACAAAACAGGGCGAAAAACCUAGAGUAGUUGUUCUUGGAUCUGGUUGGGCCGCUUGCAGAUUCCUCAAAGGAAUAGACACUAGUAUGUAUGAUGUUGUUUGUAUAGCACCAAGAAACCAUAUGGUCUUUACACCAUUGCUUGCAUCUACUUGUGUUGGAACAUUGGAAUUCCGAUCAGUUGCUGAACCAGUCACCCAGAUACAGAAAGCACUGGCAAAGGAUCCAAAUUCAUAUUUCUUCCUAGCAUCCUGCACUGGUGUUGAUGCUGAUAAACAUGAAGUAUACUGUGAAACGGUUGGCGAUCGUGGAGUCUCUCAUGAGCAUUACAGAUUUAAGGUUGCAUAUGACAAGCUUGUCAUUGCUUCUGGAGCUGAACCUUUGACCUUUGGCAUAAAGGGAGUGGAGGAACAUGCCUUCUUUCUCCGUGAAGUACAGAAUGCCCAAGAAAUCAGGAAGAAGCUUCUUAUGAACUUGAUGGUCUCAGAAACUCCAGGCAUCUCGGAAGAAGAGAAAGAGCGCUUGUUGCACUGUGUUGUGAUUGGAGGUGGACCUACAGGGGUUGAAUUCAGCGGGGAGCUAAGUGAUUUUAUUAUGAGAGAUGUACGCGAACGUUAUGCUCAUGUCAAAAACUACAUUCAUGUGACCCUCAUUGAGGCUAAUGAGAUUUUGUCUUCAUUUGAUGUUGGGUUGCGGGAGUAUGCGACAAAGCAUUUGACCAAGGUUGGUGUCCGCCUUGUUCAUGGUGUUGUAAAAGAAGUACAUCCAGAUAAAAUAGUUCUCAGUGAUGGAAGUGAUGUUCCAUAUGGCCUUCUCGUUUGGUCUACUGGAGUUGGUCCUUCCAAUUUUGUUAAAUCACUAAAUGUUCCCAAGUCUCCUGGUGGAAGGAUUGGAAUUGAUGAAUGGUUGCGAGUUCCUUCCGUAGAAGAUGUGUUUGCUAUAGGAGAUUGUGCUGGUUUUCUUGAACAGACUGGAAAGCCGGUGCUUCCGGCUCUUGCUCAGGUUGCUGAAAGGCAAGGGAAGUAUCUUGUUAAAUUGUUCACCGACAUUGGGAAACAGAAUGGAGGCAAAGCUCUCUCAGCCAAAGACAUCACUCUAGGAGAUCCAUUUGUUUACAAGCAUCUUGGAAGCAUGGCAACUGUGGGGCGUUACAAGGCUCUUGUUGAUCUCCGUCAAGCUAAGGGUGAGAAGGGUGUCUCAUUAGCAGGCUUCACGAGCUGGCUUAUUUGGCGGUCCGCGUAUCUGACUCGAGUUAUCAGCUGGAGGAACAGGUUUUACGUGGCUAUGAACUGGGGAACAACGUUAAUCUUUGGCAGAGACAAUACUAAGAUAGGAUAAACUACCACUUCUAGUAGGAUUUUCAUGUUCUUGAUCCAUUUUUUGAACACUUCUAAUAACCUACCUUGUAGUGUUAUCAAUAAUGUUAAUAUCUUUGAGGAUUGAAAAAGAAAAGGGGGAAAAAGUGCUUUGUCAAAAUGGAAUUAUGAGGGUUGGGGCAAGGGAUCUUUG